GAAGGGGGCUAGCGUUGCUCGGAAUUACUGGGCGUAAAGGGAGCGUAGGCGGAUAGUUUAGUCAGAGGUGAAAGCCCAGGGCUCAACCCUGGAAUUGCCUUUGAUACUGGCUAUCUUGAGUACGGGAGAGGUGUGUGGAACUCCGAGUGUAGAGGUGAAAUUCGUAGAUAUUCGGAAGAACACCAGUGGCGAAGGCGACACACUGGCCCGUUACUGACGCUGAGGCUCGAAAGCGUGGGGAGCAAACAGGAUUAGAUACCCUGGUAGUCCACGCUGUAAACGAUGAGUGCUAGUUGUCGGCAUGCAUGCAUGUCGGUGACGCAGCUAACGCAUUAAGCACUCCGCCUGGGGAGUACGGUCGCAAGAUUA
This 369-nucleotide ribosomal RNA is filed under the name uncultured bacterium. RNAcentral describes it as "bacterial SSU rRNA". It matches the Rfam family "Bacterial small subunit ribosomal RNA", at positions 527 to 896 of the family's 1533-position model. The record is from RNAcentral.